This 732-nucleotide ribosomal RNA is filed under the name Sagocoris biroi. Its description in RNAcentral is "SSU rRNA". It matches the Rfam family "Eukaryotic small subunit ribosomal RNA", at positions 422 to 1079 of the family's 1831-position model. Lineage: Eukaryota; Metazoa; Arthropoda; Insecta; Hemiptera; Naucoridae. The record is from RNAcentral.
AAGGCAGCAGGCACGCAAAUUACCCACUCCCGGCACGGGGAGGUAGUGACAAAAAAUAACGAUACGGGACUCAUCCGAGGCCCCGUAAUCGGAAUGAGUACACUUUAAAUCCUUUAACAAGGAUCCAAUGGAGGGUAAGUCUGGUGCCAGCAGCCGCGGUAAUUCCAGCUCCAUUAGCGUAUAUUAAAGUUGUUGCGGUUAAAAAGCUCGUAGUUGGUUCUGCGUCCCAUGCUGUCGGUUCACCGCCUGACGGUGCAACUGACAUGUCGUGGGAUGUCCUGUCGGUGGAGGCCUUGACCCACUGCGUGCGGAGGUUUUUCCGAAGCACGUUGCUGCGAGUCAAGGCCGCCGAUUCAAUCCUGCCGCGGUGCUCUUCAUUGAGUGUCGAGGUAGGCCGACACGUUUACUUUGAACAAAUUAGAGUGCUCAAAGCAGGCUAAUAACGCCUGGAUAUUGGUGCAUGGAAUAAUGGAAUAGGACCUCGGUUCUAUUUUGUUGGUUUUCGGAACCCGAGGUAAUGAUCAAUAUGGACAGGCGGGGGCAUUCGUAUUGCGGCGUUAGAGGUGAAAUUCUUGGAUCGUCGCAAGACGCACUAGAGCGAAAGCAUUUGCCAAGUAUGUCUUAGUUGAUCAAGAACGAAAGUUAGAGGUUCGAAGGCGAUCAGAUACCGCCCUAGUUCUAACCAUAAACGAUGCCAGCCAGCGAUCCGCCGAUGUUCCUCCGAUGACUCGG